This 318-nucleotide ribosomal RNA is filed under the name Anapausis inermis. RNAcentral's name for it is "eukaryotic LSU rRNA". It matches the Rfam family "Eukaryotic large subunit ribosomal RNA", at positions 1592 to 1866 of the family's 3401-position model. Lineage: Eukaryota; Metazoa; Arthropoda; Insecta; Diptera; Scatopsidae. The record is from RNAcentral.
GAGCGAAAGGGAAUACGGUUCCAAUUCCGUAACCUGUUUGAGUAUACGUUUGUUGAUAAAAAUGGGUUCAUUAUAUAUGCACUCAUCCUGGUAACAGAAACAACCAUAGAGAAGCCUUCGAGAAAUACUGAAAGAGUUUUCUUUUCUGUUGAACAAUUGUAUCACCAUGGAAGUCUUUUACAGAGAGAUAUGGUGAAUGAAUUGGAAGAGCAUGACAUUUACUGUUGUGUCAGUAUUAUCUCCUUGGACCUUGAAAAUCUAUGGUAGGGCCACGCAAACAUCUCAACAGACCGUACCGAUAUCCGCAGCCGGUCUNNA